GGAGUUAGCCGGUGCUUCUUCUGCGAGUAACGUCACAGAUGUAAGGUAUUAACUUACACCCUUUCCUCCUCGCUGAAAGUGCUUUACAACCCGAAGGCCUUCUUCACACACGCGGCAUGGCUGCAUCAGGGUUUCCCCCAUUGUGCAAUAUUCCCCACUGCUGCCUCCCGUAGGAGUCUGGGCCGUGUCUCAGUCCCAGUGUGGCUGAUCAUCCUCUCAGACCAGCUAGGGAUCGUCGCCUAGGUGAGCCUUUACCUCACCUACUAGCUAAUCCCACCUGGGCUUAUCCAUCAGCGCAAGGCCCGAAGGUCCCCUGCUUUCCCCCGUAGGGCGUAUGCGGUAUUAGCAGUCGUUUCCAACUGUUAUCCCCCACAAAUGGGCAAAUUCCCAGGCAUUACUCACCCGUCCGCCGCUCGUCAUCUUCAAAAGCAAGCUUUUGAAAUGUUACCGCUCGACUUGCAUGUGUUAGGCCUGCCGCCACGCGUUCUAUACUGAGACCGACGAGUACAAACUACUCGA
Molecule: ribosomal RNA, 519 nt
Filed under: uncultured bacterium
Lineage: Bacteria
Description: partial 16S ribosomal RNA
Source: RNAcentral